Sinocyclocheilus rhinocerous is the source of this 130-nucleotide long non-coding RNA. RefSeq lists it as uncharacterized. The transcript has 3 exons. Lineage: Eukaryota; Metazoa; Chordata; Actinopteri; Cypriniformes; Cyprinidae. The record is from RefSeq and is a predicted model, not a curated record.
CUUUCCUUAGUAGAAAAGAUGCAGAAUCAUUAGUGCAUGCAUUUAUUACCACUCGCCUUGACUAUUGUAACGCUCUUUUCUCUGGCUUACCAGCUCACUCCAUCGUUCGUCUGCAGAAUUUUAAAUGUAC